CAGCAGCCCGAGUGGUGUUCGUUAUUAUUGGGCCUAAAGCGUCCGUAGCCGGACCGGUAAACCCUUUGGUAAAUCGUAUAGCUUAACUAUACGAAUUCUGAGGAGACUGCCGGUCUUGGGACUGGGAGAGGUCGGAGGUACUCCAGGGGUAGGGGUGAAAUCCUGUAAUCCUUGGGGGACCACCAGUGGCGAAGGCGUCCGACUAGAACGGGUCCGACGGUGAGGGACGAAGCCCUGGGGCACAAACCGGAUUAGAUACCCGAGUAGUCC
RNAcentral lists this ribosomal RNA (270 nucleotides) under uncultured archaeon. RNAcentral's name for it is "partial 16S ribosomal RNA". It matches the Rfam family "Archaeal small subunit ribosomal RNA", at positions 477 to 747 of the family's 1478-position model. The record is from RNAcentral.